UCUAUGAAAUCGGGUAAAACGUAAUUUUGAUAGUAUAUAUUUUUGAGGCAACAGUACACUCUAGAUAAUGAUUAUUACGAAGAAAACAACUUGUUAAGUCGAAAAUGGCAGAAAAUGGUAGAGAUAUAGCAUUAUGUAGAAUUUACCUCUAAUAGUAUUGUCAAAUCUUCGACCUAACUCUGUUAACCUUAAAAAGAGCUACAGCGGCGACAAAAACUCAAAUCAGAAAACUUCUGGACUCCAGAAUCAUUAGACACUACAGCAGUAUGUACGCUAGUUCUAUUCAUAUGAUACAAAAGAAAGACAACAACUGGAGAAUGUGCGGAGACUACCGUAAACUCAAUGAUGCUACUUAUCCAUGACAGUCCGCCGCUCAUCCAAGAUUUCUUUCCACGUCUACACAACAAAAAAGGAUACAGCAAAAUCGACUGCGAAAAAGCAUACCUAGAACUAUUUAUUCACGUGGAGGACAUUGAAAAAACUGCCGUUAUAACUCCAUGGAGUUAUUACGAAUACCUAAGUAUGCCCUUUGGUGUAAAAAACACCACCCAAUCAUACCAAUGAUUUAUGGAUGUACUCUUUAGAGACCUGGACUUCGUGUAUGUCUACGUAGAUGAUAUUCUGGUAUUCUCGGACGACGAAGAUCAACACCUGAAAUACGUAUGCAUCAUACUCGAAUUAAAACACAACAACCUUAUUAUCAAUCUCAAAAAACGUCUGUUCAACCAAAAGGAGAUCAAUUUCCUGAAUUACACAAUUAAUAAACAUAAUUACAUUCCAAUGUGCGAACGAGUUGAUGCCAUUAAAAGAUAUCAAAAACCUGA
This is a long non-coding RNA of Vespa mandarinia (Asian giant hornet), 824 nucleotides long. The record is from RefSeq and is a predicted model, not a curated record. NCBI's taxonomy places the organism in Eukaryota, Metazoa, Arthropoda, Insecta, Hymenoptera, Vespidae.